UGGGUGCCAGUGCUAGGGAUAUUGGAGGGCCGUGUGGGUGCCAGCUCUAGGGGUGUCAGAGGGCUGCGUGGGUUCCAGCACUAGGCGUAUUGGAGGGCUGCAUGGGUGCCAGUGCUAGGGACCCCUCCCAGUUCAGAAGGACUUUCAACUCCCGCCUCGCUGCCAAACCCACUGCCUGGGGAGGGGUCUGGAAACCGUCCUUGAAUUUGCCUCCCGUCUCCCCAUCCUUAGCAUCAUCCUGACUCUUCCUCUGCCCUCCUCACCCCAAAGUCCCAGAAUGCCAGGCUGCUGCACAGACGCCCCCUCACAGCCCAGAACCCCGGCCCUGCCCAUGCAGGGACACUACCCGCGCAAAGAAAACACGGGCGAUGAGAAAUGUCAGGUACCCAAAUUCCUGAAGAACAAGAUCUCUAUCUAACUGCGAAGGUUUCAAAGCAGGUUGGACGUGUUUUCUCAGACAGGUUUGAUAUUUGCACCGCAGGAAAUUUGGGCUCAUAGAGACCCUUUAGCCUGAUCUACAAAGCAGCAGGACAAACAGCGACAGAUGUUUGCAGUUAGACCUCUCCAGGAUCUGAAGCCUCCUACAGAUGAGGCUGAUGCCCAGCAAGGAUCUCACCACAAAGCUUGUCCUCAGCACGGCUAAGGGCCUUGAUGCGAAAACAGGACGGGGAUGCAGGGGUGACUGAAGAAGCAGAAAGGACUUGAAAACUACACCCUGCUCUGUCCAAAGCUCAAGAUGGUGAAAUUAACACCUAAAGCCCUGGUGGCCGGCACGGGAAAACUUUAGAAGUCCAGAGGUCUGAGGGCACCCUCCUGAAGCUGGUGAUGAGAAGAGCCCAAUGCCGAGUCGUCUUCCUGGUUGCCGGAUUCGUCUAUGCUCGCAGGGCUGUGAAGGAACGCCUGAGACGGGCGCCCCAGCAGUGCAGCCCGACUACCAGCCGAUUUGCUCAGAUGAGUCAGCAGCCUGAGAAAAACUACACAAUGGAUGAGGCCAAAUAGUAACAGAAAUCGGAGCUAAACAACAUACAGAUCCCCUUUGUGUGGCACUGAAGCCGAACGAGACCCUGGGAGUCUACAAUGAGACAGGCCUUUCCUGCCUGACAUGUGGACCAGCCAAGUGAACCCCACCACACCCGGUCACUGAACGCCGACCUCCAGGGGACCACAUACGCACGCACAU
This is a long non-coding RNA of Homo sapiens (human), 1180 nucleotides long. RefSeq lists it as uncharacterized. The record is from RefSeq and is a predicted model, not a curated record. Lineage: Eukaryota; Metazoa; Chordata; Mammalia; Primates; Hominidae. The transcript is spliced from 4 exons.